AUGGCGGAUGAAGGUACAGGAUCGCGGUGGAAGAGGGACAAGGAGAGCGCGGAAGAUCUCUUGGCCCGGCUGAACUUGCAGGAGGCAGAAGAUGAUGAAUUUGUAUGGGAAGAGGAAUUGCCAGAUCAGAUGGAACCGGCCAAGUGGUUGUCUAUAGCUAGGGUUCAUACUCUUAAAACUUUCAGCCCAAGUGCGUUGUAUGGAGACAUGUACUCGGCAUGGAACCCAGCAAGACCAGUGGUUUGGAGAAGGAUCAAUGAAAACCUCUUUACAACACAAUUUGGAUGUUUAGCAGAUUGG
Molecule: ribosomal RNA, 300 nt
Filed under: Triticum aestivum (bread wheat)
Lineage: Eukaryota; Viridiplantae; Streptophyta; Magnoliopsida; Poales; Poaceae
Description: partial small subunit ribosomal RNA
Source: RNAcentral